UUUAUGGAGAGUUUGAUCCUGGCUCAGGAUGAACGCUGGCGGCGUGCCUAAUACAUGCAAGUCGAGCGAACAGAUAAGGAGCUUGCUCCUUUGACGUUAGCGGCGGACGGGUGAGUAACACGUGGGUAACCUACCUAUAAGACUGGAAUAACUCCGGGAAACCGGGGCUAAUGCCGGAUAACAUGUUGAACCGCAUGGUUCUACAGUGAAAGACGGUCUUGCUGUCACUUAUAGAUGGACCCGCGCCGUAUUAGCUAGUUGGUGGGGUAACGGCCUACCAAGGCGACGAUACGUAGCCGACCUGAGAGGGUGAUCGGCCACACUGGAACUGAGACACGGUCCAGACUCCUACGGGAGGCAGCAGUAGGGAAUCUUCCGCAAUGGGCGAAAGCCUGACGGAGCAACGCCGCGUGAGUGAUGAAGGUCUUCGGAUCGUAAAGCUCUGUUGUUAGGGAAGAACAAAUGUGUAAGUAACUGUGCACAUCUUGACGGUACCUAACCAGAAAGCCACGGCUAACUACGUGCCAGCAGCCGCGGUAAUACGUAGGUGGCAAGCGUUAUCCGGAAUUAUUGGGCGUAAAGCGCGCGUAGGCGGUUUUUUAAGUCUGAUGUGAAAGCCCACGGCUCAACCGUGGAGGGUCAUUGGAAACUGGAAAACUUGAGUGCAGAAGAGGAAAGUGGAAUUCCAUGUGUAGCGGUGAAAUGCGCAGAGAUAUGGAGGAACACCAGUGGCGAAGGCGGCUUUCUGGUCUGCAACUGACGCUGAUGUGCGAAAGCGUGGGGAUCAAACAGGAUUAGAUACCCUGGUAGUCCACGCCGUAAACGA
RNAcentral lists this ribosomal RNA (826 nucleotides) under Staphylococcus pseudintermedius. RNAcentral's name for it is "bacterial SSU rRNA". It matches the Rfam family "Bacterial small subunit ribosomal RNA", at positions 1 to 809 of the family's 1533-position model. Lineage: Bacteria; Bacillati; Bacillota; Bacilli; Caryophanales; Staphylococcaceae. The record is from RNAcentral.